Malania oleifera is the source of this 4384-nucleotide RNA transcript. It is a transcript of the gene named pentatricopeptide repeat-containing protein At5g27270, with no coding region annotated. The record is from RefSeq and is a predicted model, not a curated record. The transcript has 10 exons. Lineage: Eukaryota; Viridiplantae; Streptophyta; Magnoliopsida; Santalales; Ximeniaceae.
UCUGUCAUUUAGCAGAAAACAUUAUCCUUUUACUCUCUGGUCUCCAAUGUUACUUGGCUGCUAGGAGCCCAACCAGCCCCUCAAGCUUUAAACCCUCACUAAACCUCUCCACUCCACCCACCAUGGAGACCCUCAAAUCAUCCUUCCUCCACUCCACUCCUCUCCUCCCUUCACACCACAAAAGUGACAAAACCCCUCCUCCUCCAAAGCCCACCUCAAAGCCAAAACCCAAAUUCACCAAAACACUCUGCGCAGUAUCCCCAGACCCCUGGACUCUCAGCGAUGGCAACAUCAAUCGUCCCAAACCCAUCUCCAAGAACCCCAAAAACCGGCUCUCUGACGACAAUGCCCGCCGAAUCAUAAAGGCCAAGGCCCAGUACCUGAGCCUGCUGAGGAAGAACCAGGGCUCCACCGCCCAAACCCCCCGGUGGAUCCGCCGGACCCCCGAGCAGAUGGUCCAGUAUCUGCAGGACGAUAGGAACGGGCAUUUGUACGGGAAGCAUGUGGUGGCGGCCAUCCGGACCGUUCGGAGCCUCUCGGAGAAGGCCGAGGGGUCGUACAAUAUGAGGGAGGUGAUGGGAUCUUUUGUCACGAAGCUCACUUUCAGAGAGAUGUGUACUGUGCUGAAGGAGCAGAAGGGGUGGAGGCAGGCCAGGGACUUCUUUGCUUGGAUGAAAUUGCAGUUAAUUUACCACCCCAGUGUCAUUGCCUACACAAUUCUUUUACGCAUAUAUGGGCAAAUUGGAAAAAUCAAGCUUGCAGAACAGACAUUCUUGGAGAUGCUUGAAGAAGGUUGUGAACCAGAUGAAGUUGCUUGUGGUACGAUGCUGUGUGCAUAUGCUAGAUGGGGACGCCAUAAGGCAAUGCUCUCAUUUUAUUCUGCCGUGCAAGAAAGGGGAAUUACACUUUCUGUUGCUGUUUUCAAUUUCAUGCUCUCAUCUUUGCAGAAAAAAUCACUCCAUGGAAAAGUUAUACAGAUAUGGAUGGAUAUGGCUGAUAAAAGAGUGGUCCCUAAUCAUUUUACUUUUACAGUUGUCAUUAGUUCUCUUGUGAAAGGAGGACAUCACGAAAAGGCUUUCAAAACUUUUGAAGAGAUGAAGAAUCUCGGGUUUGUACCCGAGGAGGCAACCUACAGCCUUCUUAUUAGUCUCUGUUCCAAAAACAAUGACCCAGACAAAGCAUUGAGACUCUAUGAAGAUAUGAGAUCUAGGGGCAUAAUUCCUAGUAAUUUUACAUGUGCAUCACUUUUAGCCCUGCAUUACAAAAACAGGGAUUAUUCCAAAGCUGUUUCCGUCUUUACAGAAAUGGAGACCUAUAAAAUUGUAGCUGAUGAGGUUAUAUAUGGUUUGGUCAUCAGGAUAUAUGGCAAACUUGGCCUUUAUGAGGAUGCGAUGAAAACAUUUGAAGAGGUCGAGAAGUUGGGCCUCCUUACGGAUGGUAAAACGUAUUUAGCAAUGGCGCAAGUCCAUCUCAAUACAGGGAAUUUUGAGAAGGCUUUGAAUAUUAUGGAAUUAAUGAGAUCUAGAAACAUUUGGUUUUCAAGAUUUUCUUAUAUUGUUUUGUUGCAGUGUUAUGUCAUGAAGGAAGAUUUGGCAUCUGCUGAAGAUACUUUUCAGGUUCUAACCAAGACUGGACUUCCUGAUGCUGGCUCAUGCAAUGACAUGCUCAAUUUGUAUAUGAGGCUGGGCUUAGCUGAAAAAACCAAGGAUUUUAUUGUUCGGAUGAGGAAAGAUGGAAUUGAAUUUGACGAGGAGCUUUGCAAGACUGUUCUGAAGAUAUAUAGCAAGGAGGGAAUGCUGAGAGAUGCUGAGCAGUUGAUAGAAGAGAUGAGUGCAAAUGGGUCAUUUACUGACAGUAAAUUCAUUCAAACAUGCUUUGCAGCUAUGCAUGGAGAAUUUGUGAGACUUGAUAAAGAUGAAGACACUUAUGAGACAGAUCAACCCAUCACUAUUGCUUUUCAGUUGAUGCUUAGUUUGUAUCUCUCUGCUGGCAAUACAAAUAAGGCAGAGGAAGUACUGAAAUGGUCGCUUAGGAUGACUGAUGGCUUGUCAGUAGCCAGUCAGCUUAUUAGAAAAUUCAUCAGAGAAGGUGAUGUAUCUGAAGCUGAAAUUCUGUAUGGGCAAUUGAUCAACCUAGGCUGUAUGCCAGAGGAUGCAGCCUGUGCCUCUAUGAUUAGUUUGUAUGGACAGAAAAACGAGCUAAAAAAAGCCCAAGACAUUUUUUUGGCAAUGGCCGACUCUUCUAAAGUUGGAAAACGAUUAUAUACCUCAAUUAUUGAUGCAUAUAUGAGGUGUGAUAAACCAGAGGAGGCAUACUUGCUUUACGCAAAAGUGACUGAGGAGGGGCAUGAUAUGGGGGCUGUUGCCAUCAGCAUUCUUGUGAACUCUUUGAGUAGUUAUGGGAAACAUCAAGAGGCAAAAAAUGUCAUAGACACUAGUUUUCAUCGAGGAUUGGAGCUUGAUACUGUGGCGUACAAUACCUUUAUCAAGGCAAUGCUAGAAGCAGGCAAAUUGCACUUCGCAGCCCAUAUUUAUGAACACAUGCUCUCCGUGGGAGUCCCUCCAUCAAUUCACACAUAUAGCACAAUGAUCAGUGUGUAUGGACGAGGUCGAAAUCUGGAUAAGGCUGUUGAGAUGUUCAACAUGGCUCGUGGCUCAGGUGUUUCAUUGGAUGAGAAGGCAUACACCAAUCUGAUAAACUAUUAUGGAAAGGCUGGCAACAAUCAUGAAGCAUCUGUUCUAUUUAAGAAAAUGCAGGAUGAAGGAAUAAAACCUGGAAAGGUUAGCUACAAUAUCAUGAUAAACAUUUAUGCUAUUAAAGGACUUCAUCAGGAAGCGGAGGAACUUAUUGUAGCCAUGCAGAGAGAUGGCUGUUCACCUGACUCACUCACCUACCUUGCUCUUGUUCGAGCUUAUACUCAGAGUUUGAAUUAUUUACAAGCAGAGGAAACCAUCAUUUUUAUGCAGAAAGAAGGGAUUCCCCCUUCCUGUGCUCAUUUUAACCGUUUAAUCUCUGCUUUUGCAAGAGGGGGUUUGAUUGAGGAAGCAGAACGAAUUUAUGGGGAGCUUCCGAGGGCCGGUUUAAGUCCUGAUCUUGCAAUUUUCCAGUCUAUGUUGAGAGGGUAUUUGGACUAUGGACGCAUACAAGAAGGCAUCUCCUUCUAUGAAAGGAUGAGUAAGUCUGUGAAACCAGACAGAUUCAUUUUGAGUGCAGCCGUGCAUUUUUACAAGUCUCUGGGCAAGGAAAUUGAAGCUGAAUGUGUUUUAAAUUCCAUGAACAAUUUGGGGAUCCCAUACUUGGAAAAACUUGAAGUUGGAUCAAAGCUGAGACUCCCUUAACUAUAUGGGAACUAUUUUGAGGAAAAAGGAGAACUGAGUCUACAAGACCCUAAUGGUUUAUCUGGGUGCGAUUCUGCACUCAAAAAGUCAAGUGAGAAAUUCAACUUUGAGGAUGCUUUGGAUUCCAUGAAUUGAUUGUGGAUCCUGUAAGCCACAAACAUGAAAACAGAGUUAUAGAAUUCCAUGAAAUAUUACAGAACUUCUCAGGGAUUCUCUAACUGUGCUAUUGCCCAAUUGCAAGGGAUUUGAUCUGGGUACAGUGGUAUUCAAUAUGCAGAGCUAUGGCUACAGCAGUGACUUAAGUGUGGUUUUGUUAGUUUUAUUAUCAAUCCUUCUUCGGUCCUGCAGCUAAAGGGCCCUCUAACGUCAUUCUUGUUUGAUGCUAAUGCUUCAAUGUUGAGCUGGGAAUGCUGUUGUAGCAUGUCUGCUCAUGAAUGGCGCUCAUAAAGAUCAUGGCAAAGCAGAUACUCUUUCUAUACUGGAGUGAAGGAGCUUAGGAGCUUAUUCAAGUGUAGUAUCAAAUUAUAGGUGAUGAACCCACUUGAACCAAACAAACAGGGUUGUUGUGAAGAAGAUUAAGAAGCUAGGCCAAGAUGACAAGAUAAGAGUCUGAGAGUGGGGCUCGCAGUCUCCUUGGUCUCUUUUCUGCUACUUCCGGCCAAUCGACAACAGCUUCGUUGGUUCAGCUACUUGCACUGUCAUGACUCUGAUUGUCAUCUUCAAAUUCUCUGUGCAACUACUGGGAAAGCUGAGCUAACAACAUGGAGUGGAGAAACAUUUUCCAACAUGGUUUCAGAUUAUAGGUGAUGGAACAACUCUACUCAAAAUGCACAUAUAUGGGUAUUUUCAAAAAUUAUUGUCAGUUUGCUAGGAUUGGGUUUGGUCUACAAAAUAUUGAUGGUUUCCUUGCUCCUCUGUUUAUGACAUAUUCUUUCUUUUGCAUACAUCUAUUCAAAAUCGGUCUACUUCAGAAUUCAUUGUUGCUUUGAGCUCUUAACAAGUACUAUAUGUGUUGUUCUUAGUUUUAUGAAGUAUGUAUUCAAACA